RNAcentral lists this ribosomal RNA (109 nucleotides) under Labrus bergylta (ballan wrasse). The record is from RNAcentral. Lineage: Eukaryota; Metazoa; Chordata; Actinopteri; Labriformes; Labridae.
GCUUACGGCCAUACCACCCUGAACACGCCCGAUCUCGGAAGCUAAGCAGGGUCAGGCCUGGUUAGUACUUGGAUGGGAGACCGCCUGGGAAUACCAGGUGCUGUAAGCU